This 483-nucleotide ribosomal RNA is filed under the name uncultured bacterium. RNAcentral's name for it is "partial 16S ribosomal RNA". It matches the Rfam family "Bacterial small subunit ribosomal RNA", at positions 899 to 1397 of the family's 1533-position model. The record is from RNAcentral.
ACUCAAAGGAAUUGACGGGGACCCGCACAAGCGGUGGAGCAUGUGGUUUAAUUCGACGAUAAGCGAGGAACCUCACCAAGAUUUGACAUGUAGCUGCAAGCUCUGGAAACAGAGCCGCCUUCGAGGGUGCUACACAGGUGCUGCAUGGUUGUCGUCAGCUCGUGUCGUGAGAUGUACCGUUAAGUCGGGUAACGAGCGCAACCCCUAUGCUGUGUUACAUAUUCACAGCAAACUGCCUGGGAUAACCAGGAGGAAGGUGGGGAUGACGUCAAAUCAGCAUGGCCCUUACAUCUUGGGCGACACACGUGCUACAAUGGCCGGUACAAUGGGUUGCGAAGCCGCAAGGCGGAGCCAAUCCCACCAAAGCCGGUCUCAGUUCGGAUUGAGGUCUGCAACUCGACCUCAUGAAGUUGGAAUCGCUAGUAACCGCGCAUCAGCCACGGCGCGGUGAAUACGUUCUCGGGUCUUGUACACACCGCCCGU